UUCUUGGGGUUGUAGGACACUCUAUACGGAGUUACAAAAGAAAGUUAUAAAUGAAGCGGUCUGGAAAGGCCCGCCAAAGACGGUAACAGCCCGGUAGUUGAAAUAGCUUUCCCUCCAGAGUGGAUCCUGAGUACGGCGGAACACGUGAAAUUCCGUCGGAAUCCGGGAGGACCAUCUCCCAAGGCUAAAUACUCCCUAGUGACCGAUAGUGAACCAGUACCGUGAGGGAAAGGUGAAAAGCACCCCGGAAGGGGAGUGAAACAGUUCCUGAAACCGUGUGCCUACAAGUAGUUAGAGCCCGUUAAUGGGUGAUAGCGUGCCUUUUGUAGAAUGAACCGGCGAGUUACGAUUUGUUGCAAGGUUAAGCGGAAAAAGCGGAGCCGUAGCGAAAGCGAGUCUGAAUAGGGCGCAUAAGUAACAGGUCGUAGACCCGAAACCAGGUGAUCUACCCAUGUCCAGGAUGAAGGUAAGGUAAUACUUACUGGAGGUCCGAACCCACGCACGUUGAAAAGUGCGGGGAUGAGGUGUGGGUAGCGGAGAAAUUCCAAUCGAACUUGGAGAUAGCUGGUUCUCUCCGAAAUAGCUUUAGGGCUAGCCUCGAGGUAAAGAGUCAUGGAGGUAGAGCACUGUUUGGACUAGGGGCCCUUCUCGGGUUACCGAAUUCAGAUAAACUCCGAAUGCCAUGUACUUAUACUCGGGAGUCAGACUGCGAGUGAUAAGAUCCGUAGUCGAAAGGGAAACAGCCCAGACCACCAGUUAAGGUCCCCAAAUAUAUGUUAAGUGGAAAAGGAUGUGGGGUUGCUUAGACAACCAGGAUGUUGGCUUAGAAGCAGCCACCAUUGAAAGAGUGCGUAAUAGCUCACUGGUCGAGUGACCCCGCGCCGAAAAUGUACCGGGGCUAAACAUAUUACCGAAACUGUGGAUGAACCUCUUUAGAGGUUCGUGGUAGGAGAGCGUUCUAAGGGCGGUGAAGUCAGACCGGAAGGACUGGUGGAGCGCUUAGAAGUGAGAAUGCCGGUAUGAGUAGCGAAAGAAGGGUGAGAAUCCCUUCCACCGAAUAUCUAAGGUUUCCUGAGGAAGGCUCGUCCGCUCAGGGUUAGUCGGGACCUAAGCCGAGGCCGAUAGGCGUAGGCGAUGGACAACAGGUAGAGAUUCCUGUACCAGUGCUAAUUGUUUAACCGAUGGGGUGACACAGAAGGAUAGGGAAUCGCACGAAUGGAAAUGUGCGUCCAAGCAGUGAGUGUGAGAAGUAGGCAAAUCCGCUUCUCGCGAAGCAUGAGCUGUGAUGGGGAAGGAAAUUAAGUACGGAAGUUCCUGAUUUCACGCUGUCAAGAAAAGCCUCUAGGAAGAGUAGUACUGCCCGUACCGCAAACCGACACAGGUAGAUGAGGAGAGAAUCCUAAGGUGAGCGAGAGAACUCUCGUUAAGGAACUCGGCAAAAUGACCCCGUAACUUCGGGAGAAGGGGUGCUCUAUUAGGGUGCAAGCCCGAGAGAGCCGCAGUGAAUAGGCCCAGGCGACUGUUUAGCAAAAACACAGGUCUCUGCAAAACCGUAAGGUGACGUAUAGGGGCUGACGCCUGCCCGGUGCUGGAAGGUUAAGAGGAGUGCUUAGCUUCGGCGAAGGUACGAAUUGAAGCCCCAGUAAACGGCGGCCGUAACUAUAACGGUCCUAAGGUAGCGAAAUUCCUUGUCGGGUAAGUUCCGACCCGCACGAAAGGCGCAACGAUCUGGGCACUGUCUCAACGAGAGACUCGGUGAAAUUAUAGUACCUGUGAAGAUGCAGGUUACCCGCGACAGGACGGAAAGACCCCGUGGAGCUUUACUGCAACCUGAUAUGGAAUGUUUGUACCGCUUGUACAGGAUAGGUAGGAGCCGAAGAGACGUGUGCGCUAGCAUACGAGGAGGCAAUGGUGGGAUACUACCCUGGCUGUAUGACCAUUCUAACCCGCCACGCUUAGCGCGUGGGGAGACAGUGUCAGGUGGGCAGUUUGACUGGGGCGGUCGCC
RNAcentral lists this ribosomal RNA (2007 nucleotides) under Listeria monocytogenes. Its description in RNAcentral is "partial 23S ribosomal RNA". It matches the Rfam family "Bacterial large subunit ribosomal RNA", at positions 289 to 2287 of the family's 2925-position model. The record is from RNAcentral. Lineage: Bacteria; Bacillati; Bacillota; Bacilli; Caryophanales; Listeriaceae.